GAUGCAGCGACGCCGCGUGAGGGAUGGAGGCCUUCGGGUUGUGAACCUCUUUCGCUCAUGGUCAGCCGCAACUGUGGGUUGUGGUGAGGGUAGUGGGUAAAGAAGCGCCGGCUAACUACGUGCCAGCAGCCGCGGUAAUACGUAGGGCGCGAGCGUUGUCCGGAAUUAUUGGGCGUAAAGGGCUUGUAGGCGGUUGGUCGCGUCUGCCGUGAAAUCCUCUGGCUUAACUGGGGGCGUGCGGUGGGUACGGGCUGACUUGAGUGCGGUAGGGGAGACUGGAACUCCUGGUGUAGCGGUGGAAUGCGCAGAUAUCAGGAAGAACACCGGUGGCGAAGGCGGGUCUCUGGGCCGUUACUGACGCUGAGGAGCGAAAGCGUGGGGAGCGAACA
This 389-nucleotide ribosomal RNA is filed under the name Actinomyces sp. RNAcentral describes it as "bacterial SSU rRNA". It matches the Rfam family "Bacterial small subunit ribosomal RNA", at positions 385 to 774 of the family's 1533-position model. Lineage: Bacteria; Bacillati; Actinomycetota; Actinomycetes; Actinomycetales; Actinomycetaceae. The record is from RNAcentral.